Non-coding RNA from Eremomyces bilateralis CBS 781.70, 81 nucleotides. The record is from the annotation of a RefSeq genome assembly. Lineage: Eukaryota; Fungi; Ascomycota; Dothideomycetes; Eremomycetales; Eremomycetaceae.
GGGUAAAUGGCGCAGUGGUAGCGCGUUCGCUUUGCAUCUCUAGCUUGCGAAAGGUCCGGGGUUCAAUCCCCUGUUUAUCCA